AAUCAACGCUGGCGGCGUGCCUCAGACAUGCAAGUCGAACGCGAAAGUCCCCUUCGGGGGGCGAGUAGAGUGGCGCACGGGUGAGUAACACGUAGGUAAUCUACCUUUGGAUGGGGAAUAACAACCGGAAACGGUUGCUAAUACCGCAUAAUGCAGCGGCACCUAAUGGUGACAGUUGUUAAAGCGGGGGAUCGAAAGACCUCGCGUCUGAAGAGGAGCCUGCGGCGGAUUAGCUAGUUGGAAGGUAACGGCUUACCAAGGCAACGAUCCGUAGCCGGCCUGAGAGGGCGGUCGGCCACACUGACACUGACAUACGGGUCAGACUCCUACGGGAGGCAGCAGUCGGGAAUUUUGGGCAAUGGGCGAAAGCCUGACCCAGCAACGCCGCGUGAAGGAUGAAAUCCC
Molecule: ribosomal RNA, 405 nt
Filed under: uncultured bacterium
Lineage: Bacteria
Description: bacterial SSU rRNA
Rfam family: Bacterial small subunit ribosomal RNA
Source: RNAcentral